This 255-nucleotide ribosomal RNA is filed under the name uncultured bacterium. RNAcentral describes it as "partial 16S ribosomal RNA". It matches the Rfam family "Bacterial small subunit ribosomal RNA", at positions 524 to 776 of the family's 1533-position model. The record is from RNAcentral.
UACGUAGGGUGCGAGCGUUGUCCGGAAUUAUUGGGCGUAAAGAGCUCGUAGGCGGUGUGUCACGUCGGCCGUGAAAACCUGCAGCUUAACUGUGGGCGUGCGGUCGAUACGGGCAUCACUGGAGUUCGGCAGGGGAGACUGGAAUUCCUGGUGUAGCGGUGAAAUGCGCAGAUAUCAGGAGGAACACCGGUGGCGAAGGCGGGUCUCUGGGCCGUAACUGACGCUGAGGAGCGAAAGCAUGGGGGAGCGAACAGG